CUCUGCUAACUAUACAGAGAUGAAGGGGAGAGGUAUUUGCAUCCUAUGUGAAAGUAAUUUCAGCAGAACAUUUGCUUAUAAAAUUUCCAGGCAUGGUCUGCAUAAGAACGUCCAUGACUUCCGUCCCAUCUCACAUCAGUUGAGGGUUCCCCAGGAGACUCUCCACCGUUCCUCAGAAGGUUCUGCUUUUAUCUGAGUAUUCAUGUGGGACAGACUCCCAGCUGCUAAGGCAAAAGAGACGGUUACAUUAUAUACAGAAAAAU
This 263-nucleotide long non-coding RNA is filed under the name Cervus hanglu yarkandensis (Yarkand deer). Its description in RNAcentral is "lncRNA (ENSCHYG00000021929.1)". Lineage: Eukaryota; Metazoa; Chordata; Mammalia; Artiodactyla; Cervidae. The record is from RNAcentral.